This 143-nucleotide ribosomal RNA is filed under the name Guptibacillus hwajinpoensis. RNAcentral describes it as "Pseudalkalibacillus hwajinpoensis partial 16S ribosomal RNA". It matches the Rfam family "Bacterial small subunit ribosomal RNA", at positions 1390 to 1533 of the family's 1533-position model. The record is from RNAcentral. Lineage: Bacteria; Bacillati; Bacillota; Bacilli; Caryophanales; Guptibacillaceae.
CCGCGUCACACCACGAGAGUUUGUAACACCCGAAGUCGGUGGGGUAACCUUUAUGGAGCCAGCCGCCGAAGGUGGGACAAAUGAUUGGGGUGAAGUCGUAACAAGGUAGCCGUAUCGGAAGGUGCGGCUGGAUCACCUCCUUU